ACCGGAUGUGCCUGUCUGGUCGCAUGGCUGGGCGGGGAAAGAUGUUUUUCGGCGGGGGAUGGGGCUCGCGGCCUAUCAGCUUGUUGGUGGGGUGACGGCCUACCAAGGCGUCGACGGGUAGCCGGCCUGAGAGGGUGGUCGGCCACACUAGGACUGAGAUACGGCCCAGACUCCUACGGGAGGCAGCAGUGGGGGAUAUUGCACAAUGGGCGCAAGCCUGAUGCAGCGACGCCGCGUGGGGGAUGGAGGCUUUCGGGUUGUAAACCCCUUUCGGCGCGGGACAAGGCUCCGUAUGGCAGGGUUGAGGGUACGCGUCAAAGAAGCGCCGGGUAACUACGUGCCAGCAGCCGCGGUAAGUCGCCGCGCCAACAAGUUGUCAGGAAUUGAUCCCAUUAAAGGCCGAAAAACAUCUUUCCCCGCCCAGCCAUGCGACCAGACAGUCACAUCCGGUAUUAGACCCGGUUUCCAAAGCUUAUCCUGAAGCAGAGGGGCAGGUUACCCGCGUAUUACUCACCCGUUCGCCACUAAUCCACACCACCAAAAAGACAGCGCUUCAUCGUUCGACUUGCAUGUGUUAAGCACGCCGCCAGCGUUCGUC
This 598-nucleotide ribosomal RNA is filed under the name Prevotella melaninogenica. RNAcentral describes it as "bacterial SSU rRNA". The stretch from base 1 to 370 matches the Rfam family "Bacterial small subunit ribosomal RNA", at positions 168 to 539 of the family's 1533-position model. The record is from RNAcentral. Lineage: Bacteria; Pseudomonadati; Bacteroidota; Bacteroidia; Bacteroidales; Prevotellaceae.